CCCUGGUUAGCUCAGUUGGUGGAGGGCUCCACUGGAAAUGGAGAGGUCCCAGGUUCCAUACCCGUACCAGGCG
Non-coding RNA from Ixodes scapularis (black-legged tick), 73 nucleotides. NCBI's taxonomy places the organism in Eukaryota, Metazoa, Arthropoda, Arachnida, Ixodida, Ixodidae. The record is from Rfam.